UACGUAGGGUGCGAGCGUUAAUCGGAAUUACUGGGCGUAAAGCGUGCGUAGGCGGUUUAUUAAGUCAGAUGUGAAAGCCCUAGGCUCAACUUAGGAAGUGCGUCUGAAACUGAUAGGCUAGAGUUUGGUAGAGGGGGGUAGAAUUCCUGGUGUAGCAGUGAAAUGCGUAGAGAUCAGGAGGAAUACCGAUGGCGAAGGCAGCCCCCUGGAUUAAAACUGACGCUCAGGCACGAAAGCGUGGGGAGCAAACAGG
This 253-nucleotide ribosomal RNA is filed under the name uncultured bacterium. RNAcentral's name for it is "partial 16S ribosomal RNA". It matches the Rfam family "Bacterial small subunit ribosomal RNA", at positions 524 to 776 of the family's 1533-position model. The record is from RNAcentral.